UUGUCAACAUCAUUCACUGAUUCACUUCCAAAAUUCAAAACCUCUUUGUUAAAAAUACAAUACAAUAAUACAAUAACCGAUUGUUGUGUCCUGAAACCAUGUAAAAACUAGAAAAAUAACCUCAAAAGAGGGAGCUACCAACCACAACUACUUUCCAAAAGGAAAAGAACCACAUACAUGUAUGUCCCUAUGAAUUCACCAGAUUAGUUUUAUACAUUAAAUGCAUCAUCAUCAUCAUGUAUCUCGGCUAUUAAGCUGUGAACGUGCAAUAUAAGAAAGCCUUGAAGAUGCCAUUAAAGGUGCCUCUUCAUCUACUGCACUAUCUGACAUUGAACUAAAUCUGCUGCUACUCCUUGUAUUAUCUUCAUCACUGAUGUUGUUGUCAGAUGACUUCUUUUCCAGCUUCCAUUCCUGAUUAAAGAAACAUAGUAAAUAUAGAUUGAAGGGUAUUUUAGACAUCUGACAAAAAAAUUAAAACACUUUGACUGACCUUAGUCAACCGUUCUGGGAUACUUUCAGGAGGAAGUUGAGAUGCUUUCACAUCUCUAACUUUUAUGUAGUUGUACAUCACCACACCACAAAGUGCUACAAACAAAUUUUAAUCAAUCUUUUUAGUUGCUAUUUUAUUGAUGAUAUGAAAGAUUUAAACCCAAGGGUAAUGAUGACAUUUUGCAUACCAAUGGCAUAACCGAUAAUAUUGAGCCCGGUAAUGGCAGACUCUGGAAAUAUUACAGUUGAAAGAGCGAUCAAUAUCCAAUCUUUAAGGACACCUGCUACACGAAUUGUAACUGCUCCAGUUCUUCCAAUUACUAAGAAAAUUGAGAGGUUUAAUGCUAAAGCACAUAAAGCAUUCGAGAAGAAAAUCCAGAAGUUGAAUUGAAUUUGUGAAACUUCCAUGUUACUCUUCUCCAACAAAUACCAUGGCACAAACAAGAAAGCAAAACUGCAGGGGCAAAAGGGAAACACAUGAAAAAAAGGUAUUCAUCACAUUCAUAUGUAGUAAUGAAAAAAGUAAAUAAUACCUGCAUGGAGCUAUGUAAUACAAGCUUGUAAUAGGGUUUAGAGAUAAACCCUUUUUUUGUAGAAGGACUUGAGUUAAAACUAGUCUCAAAGCUUCUGCAAAGAUGCCUGUUACUUGAUAAAGUGUCCCUAUAACAUUGAAAUGGAUUUCUCCAUAUGAAGAAAUCACAACUCCAACACUGACCAGCAACAUGUUCAGUAACACAUCCCACCUCAGCUUGUCAGUGCCACAUAGGACUGCCAUGAUAAGUGUUGCUACUGGCACUGUGUGUGUCCAUUUCAAAAUACAUUCACUCAGUUAUAUUAUUUAUAAACAAAGUUUAAAGAAAUAAGAUAUAUAGAUAACAGUUUUGCAUACUUAAUGCUUUCAGCAUUUGAAUGAAGGCCACUGAUAUAUGCAAGUAUGCAGUGUUGCCAAACCUGCAAUGUAAAUAUAUAGUAACUUCACACAUAUGCAACAGGAUGCNAUAUGUGAUACUCAUCAUUCUUACCAGAGACUUGAUGCGAAGAAAGCACUAAUGGGAACUACACAUGUUGCAUAUCUAUCAAUGCCCAUGAAAAGAGAAUUCUUAAUGGAAGCUUAAAAUUUGUUAGAAACUAAAAUAGUUAAAUUAUGAAGUAGAUAUCUUACAUUUCAAAUGUCAUUUUAACUGGAGCAACAACCUGCACAGUACGAUUGGAAAAAUAUAAGCGGGGAAGCAAAAUUAAGCCUGUGAUUUUGAGGCAUGACCUAAAUGAGGAAUCUUUAAGAUUUCAUAAAGAACAAUACCUUAAAAACACGAACAAGAAAGAAUGCUACGGCACCAGAAAAGCCCAUAUGGAUCAUAGUAAGAGUGAUAGGAAAGGGAAAAUUGAAGUACUUUGGAGAGAGAACCCACUGCAAAUAGAUAUACAGAUGAUAAGCAAGGGAAUGUUUGAUGGUGAGAUGUCAAUUUGAAACAAUGUUAAGUUACCUUGUUGUAUAGAAUAACUCCAGAUGACAGCAAAAUGUAGAUUAAGAGAUAAAGGUAAGUCAAGAAAAGUGACUUGUUGAUCAUCAUUGUAGCAGUUUACUUCACAAGAUUACACCUUGUAUGUAUUAGUUCCCAGAUUCAGAGCAUACAAUGAGAUUCUCUCCCACACGGAUAACCAGAUUUCAGACUUCUUCCAACCAGAAAGCUGAUGCACUCGUCAAAAGCAAGGAGGAAAACUCACUUUCUGCACCAUAAGUACCCUACAAAGCAAUAAGAUCUAAAUGGUUUACUAUUACUUCUAUAUGUGAAAUCAUUCCACAUUUUGGUAAAAUCACAACUACCUAACUUUCUUAUAGUUGGAUUUGAACAGUAAAGUAGUUUCACGGUUUAUAUCCAGACGACUUUUUAUCAGAAGUUGUUAAAUCUGUCAAUGCCAGAACAACCUACCCUAGCAGAAUAGCGAUGGAUUCCUAGGAAGUAGAAACUACGCUGUCGAUCUCUGGGGUUAUUAGUAGGAGGCAGUAAUAGUAAUACCAUAUCGGAAUCCUGACACCUUAGGAUAUUAGUACAUCUAGCAUAAGCAGAUGAUGAAGUUCAUAGAUACACAUGGAGUACACAGAUAUUUCUUACGAUUCUACACUAAAGUCAAUAGGCAUUCGUUUGAAGGAGAUGAAAUUUAGAAACUAAAAGUGCUGAUCUACAUCGAGAGAUGGGAUACAUUUGUAAGAUUACGGUAGAACAAUGAUUUACCUUUGAAGAUCAACUGAUUCAAAAGCUUAAUGUAUAUAGGGUAGCCCCUAGAAGCAGCAGAUCAAUUUGUGUGUGUGUCGAUAUGUGAUAAUACAGAGGAGGGAGAGAGGGAGACUGGAAGAAGAAGAAAGGUUGUCAAGAUUUUUCCCCAAAGUAACUUGACUCCGCCCGUGUCUUAUGGCAAUGGCAUAGGUGUAGCGACCUUUAUUGCUAUUCUAGUAAAAUAAAGUUUUUUGGAGUAAACUACUAAACUUUAUAUAUUUAAGGUAAUUUUAUCGACAUUGGAUCUUAGUGUAUGGUAAUAUAUAGGCUGUCUAUUAAAUGUAGGGUAAAUUUUAAUGCUUUCCAAUAUGAUUUAAUUUGGCAUUUGUAUUUUGUAUCGCAAACUUUUCUCUGUUGGUUUAAAACUUUCCCAAGGUUUUAUUUAUUUAUUUCUAAGUGAUUAAAGUCGAUAUCGACCUAUUGAUUUGGUCACUUAACUUAGGUGUUUUUGUUUUUUCUAAAAAACAUUUUCAAACCAUUUUUUGCUGCGUUGUGCAACAUUUUCCCUCUCGUAGCAGUUUCUUUUUUGGAAUGCUUCAGACCAAACCUCUGCAUCUGUGCUACGUGGCCCAGCACUUGACUUGUCUCUUCAAACCUUUUCAGUUUUUAUUUUUUCCAAGUGUUUUUUUUAGAAUUUUGAUAUAACUUAGUUUUUUUAAACUUUUUAAAAAAAAAAAACUUUGAUUUUUUUUAAACUUUUAUUUACGGAUUUGAUACAAUUUCUUUUUAUAGUUUCCACAAAUUUUUUUAACUUGAUUUAAAAAAAAGUUUAAAAAAAAAAAAAAACUUUGAUUUUUUUAAUUUUUUUUUACCUUUUCUGUUAAUAAUAUUUUCAAUUUCCGCUGCAUCUUUUUUAACAUGUGUAAUUUUUACGAAUUUUAUAAACAUCGUUUGCAAUACUUUCUUAAUUUUUUAUGUUUUUUACAGCUAGUUUUUUUCUAGAAUAAAACUGUUAGCUUCUUUUAUAUAUUUUUUUUAAGUUUUAUAUUUUUGUUUUUUACAUGUUCUUUUUAGUAUUCUUUCAAUGUUUUAAGGCUAAAAUUAUUAAAAAUUCGGUGUUGAGAACUAUUUUCAGUUUAUAAAAUUAGUUUAUUUAAAUUUCAGCUUACUGCAAAUGUUAAAAAACAAACAUGCUUCUUAUUAUAGGCUGCAGCCGUUUGUUCCACAUCUUAUGUUAUAAAGGAUUGUAGAUGUGGUCUGCAGACUUCAUGAAUUUUAUCUUCGAAAAAACAAAUAGCACCUUGAAGUUACUGGUGGUUUGUACUACAUAAUCAACUAUUUUACAGGUGGACACCACGUAAUCAACUAUUUUAUAGGUCGGCGGAUCCAUAACUAAACCCCUCUGUAAAACUCUUGACGUUGUCUAGUUAAGACCCAUUCCCUUUGCAAAAAUCACGAUAGUAAUUUUGUGUUUAGCGGUUGACCUGAUGAGGUCAACGCCUACUACAACGAUGAUCGGUGGGAGGGAGUCAUGAUUGCCGUCCUUCCCGGGAAUCGAUACACGAUUUUCUUUAGAGUCAAUAGGGAACAGUUGGAAUUCAAUUAAUUGGAACUCAAACUUCAUAGGGAAUGGAUCGAUGGUAAAUCGGUUUCACAAGUUGGAAAACAAUAACAAGAUGUACAUACAUGUGUAUGAAUCGUAAUAUUUGUGAUUUGUCAUAGAAGUUUAUGUGAUAUUUCUUUGAUGGGAUGUUAAAAACGAAAAUGAGACCAAGAAUUAGGGAAUCCAUGAGAUUGAUACGGGGUUACGUUUAGAAAAUUUCAUCAUGUGACAUCUUCUUCUAAGAGUUUAAAUUAGGUAUUCAUCUCAAUGAUUGAAGAGGCAUAAUUUAACAACUUUAGGAAUGCUAAUGUCAAAUAAGUGUUGAAUCAGACAUGAAUCAGAUUGCUUGUUUCUUGCACAUUGAUACAAGAUACGCAUAGUUAAACAUAUUUCGCCGCAUGCAUCUUUGUUUAUGGAGUUUAAGAUUUUGCAACAAUGAUAGAUUUUACAAAGGGGCAUUGGUGGAAGUCUGCAGUGAUUAAGAUGGUUUCCAAGAUGUUUGGUUUGCUGCCAUGAUUUUUUGAGAACUUAUUGAUUUGGCAUAAAUCAUCGAGGAACGAUGAAGAUAUAAAAUUUUUGACAAAAGUGACUGUUAGCUUCUUUUAGUGAUUGGGUAGAGAUAACCGGAUUAACUUUAUUGAGCUUAUGGACGUUUUAAACUAUAAUAGUAGAGUUGAAGGAUGUUUUAAACCAUAACAUUGGAGUUUAAGCACCUAAAUUAAUUAAUUAAUUAAUUAAUUAAAAAAAAAAAAAAAAAAAAAAAAAAAAAAAAAAAAACACUGGAGGACCUUUUAAACGAAUCCGGAAAUUUUGUAUGGUCUCAACGACAUUAUCCCGAUUUUAUAUUAACCUAAUAUGUUAUCCAUCUUAAUAAUUGAAAUCAUCUUAUUAAUAGUUAUUUAUUUAAUUGUUAUAUGUUGUUUGUAUAUUUCGUGACGACAUGUGUGGACGUGUUGGUUUGUGGUUUUCUUUUAAUCUUAUAUUAAGGGGCACUAAUGUCUCAACCAACUAUACUUGAAUUUAAAUAAUUGACAUUACAAUAUUUGAUUCAAUACAAAGACUCAAUUAUGGUUUCAAUAUUUUUAAUAAGAGUUAAAGUUACUAAUUGUGAUUAACAAUUACUAAAUAUAAAGAGGUUACUUUUAGAAAUAAAUACAUAUCAUUAACUUUGGAGCAUAUCGAAGCGAAAAAUAUAAUUAUUAACAUUUUAUUCAUAUGAUUAUGAUCAAAACCAAUUGAUAUUAUCUAUUUUAAAAAAAUGCUAUAAAGUACAUUUUUCUUAAAUGAGGGAAAAAGUUUAUGGAAGUUUGCGUGCGUGCAUGGACCGUCCAAUGUAAAUAGUUGCCUAAUUUUAUAAUAUUACUUACUUCUUUUAAGUAAUAAAUUGUAUUUUUCUUUUCUAUAUAGAUCUGGUUUAAAGAAUAAUAAUAUUUUAUAUGGAAUUUUGGGAAAAAAUGUAUUUUAUGCAUAAUAUAUCAUAAAAAUAAUUUAUCAAUGGAAAAGUGAAAUUGUAUAUAGUAAACCACAUUAUUUAAACGGCCCACAACAAAUCUGGCCUAGAUUAUAUAUAUUAUAUAUGGACAAUGAAAAAAAAAAACAUAAGCUAUUAAAAUGUGAAAACUAAAACUUUCAAAACCUUUUUGAUGUAUAUGUUAUAAAUUUUGAUGCAGCAAGCAGUAACCAUGAAAUUAGGCAAAACACUUCACAAAUGUUUUCCUCAUUUAAUUAAAUUCAUAAAUCAAAUAUAAAAAGGGUGUCCACUGUCCACCGAUGACAUUGCAGAUCUUUAAGAUUAGGUAAUGUAGUAAUAUUUACCUAAAAAUUCUCAUAUUUCAAAAUAAUGGACAAAAUACUAAAAAUAGCAAUUUACCUUAAAUUUCCAACAUACAUUAAUGCUUCUCAUGUGAAAGCUCCUCCUUUUUCUAAAUCUACACUUGGAUGUUAAGUACACUUCUAACCAAAAUAUAUGAUUUUAGUUUUAUGGAUAGGAUCAAGCCAAUCAAGUGGGACCAUAAUACUUUAUUCAGCAAAAUAUUGUCAGCAAAAAAUAUUGAUGGUUGGGAACAUGAAUAGUAAGACUCAUAAAUAUCUUAUUUAGUAUAUAUAUUUAAAUAAAAAUAUCUAUUAGUCCAUACUGUUGCAUUUUCUUAUCUUAUCAUAUUAAAUCAUUAACAACAAAAAAUAAUACUUUCGUCUUCUUUCCAGAUCCCAUUUACAUCAGUUAAUUGAUCAAAACUAAGAUUGUAAAUCAUAAAUCCAAAACCAAUCCUCAGAGUGUUGUUUCAAAAUCUGUCUAGUAAAAAUACAAUACAAUAAUCCAAUUUUCCAUCCUCAAAACCAUGUAAAAAAAAAAAAAACAAAUACACGUAUGUCCCCUAUGAAUUCACGAGAUUAGUUUUAUACAUAUGAUGCAUCAUCAUCAUCAUGCAUCUCGGCUAGUAAGCUGUGAACGUGCAAUAUGAGAGAGCCUUGAAGAUGCCAUUAAAGGUGCCUCUUCAUCUACUGCACUACUACUCCUUGUAUUAUCAUCAUCAUUAGUCAUUCUUUCUGGGAUAAUACUACUUUCAGGAGGAAUUUGAGAUGAUGCUUUCACAUCUCUAACCUUUAUGUAGUUGUACAUCACCACACCACAAAGU
RNAcentral lists this long non-coding RNA (6944 nucleotides) under Lactuca sativa (garden lettuce). Its description in RNAcentral is "long non-coding RNA (LSAT_LNC000176)". Lineage: Eukaryota; Viridiplantae; Streptophyta; Magnoliopsida; Asterales; Asteraceae. The record is from RNAcentral.